RNAcentral lists this ribosomal RNA (484 nucleotides) under uncultured bacterium. Its description in RNAcentral is "partial 16S ribosomal RNA". It matches the Rfam family "Bacterial small subunit ribosomal RNA", at positions 30 to 507 of the family's 1533-position model. The record is from RNAcentral.
AUUGAACGCUGGCGGCAGGCCUAACACAUGCAAGUCGAGCGGAUGAAGGGAGCUUGCUCCUGGAUUCAGCGGCGGACGGGUGAUUAAUGCCUAGGAAUCUGCCUGGUAGUGGGGGAUAACGUCCGGAAACGGGCGCUAAUACCUCAUACGUCCUGAGGGAGAAAGUGGGGGAUCUUCGGACCUCACUCUAUCAGAUGAGCCUAGGUCGGAUUAGCUAGUUGGUGGGGUAAAGGCCUACCAAGGCGACGAUCCGUAACUGGUCUGAGAGGAUGAUCAGUCACACUGGAAAUGAGAGACGGUCAAGACUCCUACGGGAGGCAGCAGUGGGGAAUAUUGGACAAUGGGCGAAAGAAUGAUCCAGACAGGCCGCGUGUGUGAAGAAGGUAUUCGGAGUGUAAAGCACAUUAAGUUGGGAGGAAGGGCAGUAAGUGAAGACCUUGAUGUAUUGACGUUACCAACAGAAGAAGCACCGGCUAACUUCGUG